This is a small nucleolar RNA of Solanum pennellii, 135 nucleotides long. The record is from RefSeq and is a predicted model, not a curated record. Lineage: Eukaryota; Viridiplantae; Streptophyta; Magnoliopsida; Solanales; Solanaceae.
AUCCUAAAUAAGCUGAUAUAACAAGUGCUUAUUUGAUUCAUAGGAGACCUAAAUCAAAAUUAUAAAUGGACAUUCGCUGAGAACGCCUUCCUUUUUUUCCAGGAGGCGUUUACUAAUGACUAUUCCCAUACAUCU